AAUCAACGCUGGCGGCGUGCCUAACACAUGCAAGUCGAACGCGGAAGUCCCGCAAGGGAUUAGUAGAGUGGCAAACGGGUGAGUAACACGUGGGUGACCUGCCUUCGAGCGGGGGAUAACGUCCCGAAAGGGACGCUAAUACCGCAUAACAUCCUGCCUUUUAAGAGGUGGAGAUCAAAGCCGGGGAUCGCAAGACCUGGCACUUGAAGAGGGGCCCGCGCCUGAUUAGCUAGUUGGUGAGGUAAUGGCUCACCAGGGCGACGAUCAGUAGCUGGUCUGAGAGGAUGAUCAGCCACACUGGGACUGAGACACGGCCCAGACUCCUACGGGAGGCAGCAGUGGGAAUAUUGGACAAUGGGGAAACCCUGAUCCAGCCAUGCCGCGUGAGUGAUGAAGGCCUUAGGGUUGUAAAGCUCUUUCGUCAGGGAAGA
This 431-nucleotide ribosomal RNA is filed under the name uncultured bacterium. Its description in RNAcentral is "bacterial SSU rRNA". It matches the Rfam family "Bacterial small subunit ribosomal RNA", at positions 32 to 448 of the family's 1533-position model. The record is from RNAcentral.